CACUCCCAGAUGCCAGUGUGUGUCUCGUCCACAUGGUGCAAUCUGCCAUGUUCUGAGAGCUGGUCUCCAUGGAGUUGGUUCCCAACUCCUUUUCUAGAGAGUGCCAGAGAGAUUCCUUAUACAGAAGGUAAGCUGGAGGGCCAGGCCUUCUAGGCAGAGAUUUUGGACCUGGGGAUUUGCAUAGGAGGCAAGGUAUAUAUGGAGUAGGGAAGAAAGGAAAAGGAGGGGAGUGAUAGUAAGCAGGAUGCCCAGAAAAAAGGGUGAAGGCUCACAUUUAGUCACCUGUUAAAUGUGAAAGGUCCACCUUGAAGAGGUUGGCUGGGUAGGGUUAGGAGGAGAACAGUCACAUGGAUGUCUGUGGGAAAGGAAAUCUACAGCCUUACCACACUAGUGGCAGUACCUUCUCCUGACAUCUCGUUUGAUGAGAAUGACGAUGUAUGAGGAGGAGGGACAUGGUUCCUUUCUCUUCUCCAUCUCGUCCCUGAGUAAGUUCUGUGCAAAGCAAGGACUGACAGCAAGAGAGGGUAAAGUGGGGAUGGAGAUGCUUACAGAGGUGUUUACAGUGUAACGAUACAGGAUUGAGGUAAUAGUGGAAGAACGGAGGCUCUGGGGGGCAUGGGCCAAGGUGCCUUGAGGAUAAAGAAGGCAUCAGGAAGGCCCAGGGAUGCACCUUGGGCUUUGCCAUCUUGUAUUCACAAAAGAAAACUCCCAGAUCAGUCCCAGGUUCUUGGCACUGUCUCAGGUCCUCAGAUGUUCUCUAAUGCAUGUGUUCAACCAUUCCUCUUCCCUGUUCUCCACAUUUCCUGGGUCACAACAGCCUUGUUGGCUGUGGAAUGAGAAUGAGAUGUCAGAGAAGGUCCAGCUGGCCUUGGGUUGGAGUAAGUAGCUUCAAAUAAAGAAUGUCUCUGCAGUGGGUGUGAGGCCAGGCCACUGGCCCAAGUGUUUAGUGUUCACGAAUUCAGACUCUCCCUCUCACACUGACUCAGCCUGUGCCUUUGGGUGACUCUGUUUCUCAGACCUUAACACGGGGAUAAUGAUACUCGCUACUUUGUGAGGGGGUAUUAAUUAAAGUUAGCAAACUGCGUGGCAAUGCCGGGAUGAAAGGUGUUAAAAACACCAUACAUUUAAAGUGUAAUUGUGAGGCACGGUAGGUUGUGUCACUUGCCAUAUGUGUUGUAAUUAGAAUUGAUAUAGACAGAUAAAAUUCAUGUUAGAACAUAGGCUCUGCAGAGAAUAGGUCUCAUUUUAGAAUGUGUGUUAGAAGCCACCUUGGUCCCCAAACUAAAGUCAAGAGAAAAAUGUGGAUUUGCGUGGGAUGUGUGUUCAUGGGCUGACGCGUCUCCCUAUAGUCUUGUAAAUAGAAAAGAGAGCUGAUUUUCGAAUGUCGCAUAUUUCAAGUUUUCCUUCAGAGACUUCAGGCCUUUGCUAUUCAAUCCUCACUUCUCACCAGCAGAGAUCCUGAUGACAGGAAACAUGUCCCUGGUGAGCACAGCUUGAUGGCAGGUAAGGGAUAAGGAAUGCCUUGGAGAACCAAACCUGGACACUUUGUCCCUCUCUGUAAGUGGCCUUUCUUGAGAGACUAAAAAAUGUGAGCUUCCUUAGUCCAGUGCUCAAAGGCUGGCCACCAGCAAUUCCUCCUUGUCCCAGACACUGUUCCAUGACCCUGGAGCCCCUCAGGACAAGAAGUCACAAAUCAUGUGGCUGAGACAGAGCCGUGAUUUCAGAGUGCUGCUCUCCUCACUGUUUCACCAGUGCUGGCUGAGAUCCUAGAGCAGCUUCUGCGGAAUUGAUCGAAAUGAUGUCAUGUGUGAGGCUAAUUUUUGGAAAUGGAAAUCAGUGUCUCUUGGAGAAACUAGAAUGCCUGGUAGGUCCUGGGGAAGGCUGCAACCAUCACAUCACCAUGUGCUGAAGACCUCUGCAGGCUCAUGCUUGAUGACGUCCUUACCUCUACGCCUUGAAGUAAAAAGAGAUUAAAUAGUUAAGAAAAAAUGUCAGACUGAAAAACCCUGAAGAGCUUUAGAUUCUCCCAGGUCUGUCAAGUUAGGCAACAGCUGGGCCAUCAGAUCAGGGAAUUCAUGCAUUCAUUCACAAGCUGUAUUGAUUUAUUGAGCACUUUCUGUGUGCCAAGCACUGUUCUGAGUGUUGAUACAGCAGUGGACAUGCCAGACAAAAAUUCCUAUCCUUGUGGAUAGCAUUCUAUUGGAGAGACAUCCAAAGCAGAGGAAAACACUUAUAGCAUCACUGCUUAUGACUAAUUCUGUUUCCAGCUGUCCUGCAGCUGUCUGGGAUUUGGACUUUGUUCUAAUCCCAAUCCUACUGCAUCCUUUUCUCUAUAAAUUAGGAGGAGUGACAUUGUCUAAAAUGAGGGCUAGUUGUUGUCAUCGAUUUUAGCUGAGAAGUAGGGGUGAUAUUCAUAUUGGCAACUGGUAUAGCACAAGUGCUGACCAACCAGAAUGGGUACCUGUAGUUCCUGCUAACACUAAAGCUUUAGACCCAAGGGUCUUGAGAGAAUGAUUCAGGUAGCCGAGAUGGCGAAAGAUUCAGAGUGGGGGCACUUGGGGGCAUUGGCUAUUUACAAAAUGGUACAGAAAUAUUUCAAUACUUUAAACAUAGCCUGACUAUACCAGACAAUACCAGAUGAAUAGCAAUCCUACUCUUGAAAGAAUCUAGAGAAAAGGACAUACCCAUAUGAUGUCUUGGUCAAUAUGCCCACUGAUAAAAGAUCCAGCAGCCAACAGAGGACCUACCAUCAAUUUCACAUUUUGAAUCUCGAUUAGAAUUCACAGCUACUGAGUCUCCACAACCUUAUAAAAUAACUUUGAAAACUUUAAAUUUUAAAGAUGGCCUUUAAAAUUCUCAUAAAUGGCUGCCAGGUGGAGCAGAGCUGUGAAGGGCACCCAGCCUCUGUAAGAAUUGUCUUUAUUAAAAAGAAUGCAACAGCUCUGGAAUAUGCUUUGAUGUGGUGAUAGGUUUUUUUGGAUCUCUUCUUUCCUGGUCAUUACUUGGUUUACACGGGACUUGGCUGGUGAGGAAGCCACACCCCUUUGACAGGUAGAUAGAAAGCACUAUUGACAGGGAGCAGUUGUGAAACAAUUCUAGUUGCCGUCACUGGGGUGCUGGCAUAGUACUGGUCCUGCAGGUUCCUAACUUGUCAUCAUAGCUGGCAACAUCUCCUGGCUUUUAUAGAAGGUUUAAUUGGAGAGUGUCUGAUGCCUGAAGGACUUUGCUGGUUGACAGCCUUGAAAAUGGUGAAAGAAAGAAAUUGAAACCAGAAAGUGGCAAAGCAGGUGGAGAAGGUGGUCAAAUGCCUUAACAUGGAUCAUCUGCUUGCGGUAUUGAUCUCUAAAAAACAUUCACAUUCCAAAUUCCAUCUCAGCAUCUGUUUCUGGAGAAUUCAGUCUGUGUCAGCAUGGGUACUAUGUUAACAAAUAUUACAAGAAGAUGUUGAUUAGUUCAUCUACCUCCUUACAAGUUUACACAUUCAGAUUCCAGGUUUCUUUUAUUGAAUGUAUCUGCUGUACGGGAAAUUACUCUGGGAAAUUGAUAAGUAAAUAACCGUCUGUGCUGCUCAUCUUGGCGCUUGAACCUCCGACUUGAAGAGUAGGGGAAUAUCAGAAAUGAAGGCCCUGAAAGAUGAACUAAAUCAUCCAAACACCUAUGAGCCAGGUAUGGGUGAGUCUGCCACUACAGAGGCCCGUGGGAGCUGAGCUGGAUGAAUGCAGAGUGAAGAGUCAGAGACCCCACAGACGCCAGUGGUGAACUCCUUUGACUGUGUUGGCGCAUCUAACUCCACCGUCAAAUAGGAUCAUAACUUGCUCCAUCAAUGACCCGUUCAUAGUGCGUGUCUGUCUCAUGCAAGAUGUGCUCAUUACUUUAACAGAACGUUUACCUUGUAAACGUUUCUCAUAAUGAAAAACAAACAGACCAGUAACCUCAUAUUUUUGUGAUGAGUAGAUUUUUUUGGUUCAUCAGCCUGGCCCUUUCUCCAUUAUCAAGCUUUUGGCAGGGCUGAUAUUCCAGGGCAAACACUCACCUUCUUGGUGCCCACGAGCAGUGGACCCCUCAUUCUGCUUUGGUUUACUGCUUCCACAUUAACUCAUUAACUAGCUCCCUUAUUCAUUGUUCAACAGACAAUUCUCAUCUACUGUGUUGGGAACAGGGCUAGGCAGUGGGUCUUCCUGUUCUUAUCUACCUAGAAUUCAGAGAAGAACACAGUGCAUGGAGCCUAGUGAUGGAGAAAACCUCGACGUGGCAACUUCCAGAUCCUAUCAUAGGAGAUGGAGCCACAUGUCUCUCCAGGAUGCAUAUUCUGGGAGGUUUAUUCCCAAGUAGGAAGAGAGUGUGGGUGAUAAGCAGCCCCACGCUUGGCAAAUGCUCACUAAAGAAGGUAUCUUUACUACGGUGGGUCCAUCUGCAUUCUCCUAUUCCAUAUCCCUUGCCUGUGAAGAGUCUGCAAGGGUUAGGUGCUCCUGCAGCAUACCCAGCCUUCUGCAUAGGGAAGACGACAAGUUAGACUUCCAAACAAGGUGGCAUACAACCGAGAACUCUGUUGGAGGCAGCUAGCAGAAACCCGAUCCAAAUUAGCUUAAGCAAAACAGAAAUUUUAUUUUAAGGAUAUGGGAGAGAUUUGUCAAUUACAGCUCAAUAAAACAGGGAAAAGGAUGUGGGGAAGGUGCAUGUCUCAUGGAAUCCAAUGGAGCCAAUGCUUAGACUUUGGGAAUGACACAAAUCCAAAAACAUGAAUGCCCUUAGGACUCUGCUUCUAAUAUUCAUAUAAUUGAUAAUAUUUGUGGAGCAUUUAUUAUGUCCUAGGCACUUUUUCCACUUAGGUUCAUUGCAUUUUAUUUAUUUAUUUUUACAACAACUCUGUAAAAUCUGAACUAAAAUUAUUCCAUGUUUCAGAGGUGGAAGCCUGGGGAAGUAAAGGCACAUGUCCAAUGUCACACAGCUAUUGUAGUAAGAGAGCAGGUGUGAAUAUAGAGCCUGUGCUAGUGACCCUCACCAUACCACCGUCUCCUGCCUUGGUGCUGACUGCUGUCCCCUGUCCCUCAGCUCAACUCACCCCAAGUUUCACACAUCCAUCCAUCAGUCUAUGGGGACACCACAUUUUUCUGUCUCACGUCAUGUCUCAAGGAAAGGACUAUGAUUGGCCAGCUUGGGUUAAGUCCCAGGGGUUUCACCCAGAGGAGGCUCUGCCAUACCAAGGAGAAGAGAUGGGGGAGAGUGAGCGCUUCAGGGGCAAGGUGACCAUUUUCAGGAACUGAGUGCUUCUGGGCAGCCAAACAAUUGUUAACUACAAAUUUCACCUUUGCCUCCUGCAUGACUUUUCAUUUUUGCUUUACUUUCCAGCAAUUUAGAAAUAAAUUUAAUUUUCUUUCUCUCUUUCUUUUUUUAUACAUUUAAUUGUCAGAGGCACUGACUAACUCAUUCCACAUGUCUGGGAGUGUCUAGUUCUCUGCCCUAUUUUACAGAGCUUUCCUCUUCUUUUACUAUUUUUUUCAAUCAGUAAAAAAAAAUUCAAUUCUCCUGUUUCAUACUGUGUUUGAUUUUUUGGUAAGCUGUCUUAGCUUACAAAAACAUUUAUGGAAAUAUGUGAGGGAUAAAUUAUGGAUUAAAAAAGAAAAAAGACUUCAGAGUUAUGCUAUCAACAUGAUCGCUACUAGCCAUGUAUGACUAUUUAAACUUAAAUUAAUUAAAAUUAAAUAAAAUAAAAAAUUUAGUUCCUCAGUCACACAAGCCAUAGUUUAAAUGCUCAACAGCACAGUAUAGUUCUAUAUUACAGACUAUUUCCCUAAUUGCUGAAAGUUCUGCUGGGUAGUACUGCCACACAGGGUUUCAACAAUGGUGUGCUGUCUCUGAAAUAAUGAGCUCCCUAAAGGAAGUGGCUGGAUGACCUGUGUUCACCCUCCAGAUCCCAGGGGUUGUGAGUCCCAGCUUUCAUUCCCACCAUUAUGUUUCCUGUUGAUUACUUCCUGACUCACUUCCCUAUUCAUUUUCUCAAAGCCAACAUUUACAUCACAUAAGUUAUUCCUUUUCUGUUGCAGAAAAAAUAUGCAAUGGUAAUAGGGGGGUUGAAGGGACAUUUAUUACUGAUACUAAAAAUGUAAUGCACUUAAUUAGAGGUGGGACUGAAGGAAUGUGUGAACUGAAAAUGCUGGCUAACAAAAUUGUUUACACAUGGAAAUGCGGUAAGAGCCCCGAAACAGAGCUCCCAUGUUCUCCCUGGUGGGAAAGUUUCCAUCUUUCCUCUUUUUGUAACUGUCCAGAAAAGACAGAAUGUUUUUGAUCAAAGUGGCUUUGAAUCUUUAGCAUUACUUUCUCCCAUUGGAACAGAACUUUUUCCCAUGCAGUGCCAAUCCACACAUAUAGUUUCUGCAGCUCCUUAGUUUUAUUGGGAUGGGGGUGGGGGGGGGGGACACCAUCCUGUUUGAAAGGGUUUACAGCUGAUACUACUGUUCACAGUAAAUUCCUAGAGUGGGAGGAGGUAGAGGCACAUUUUUGGAGCAGCUAGGUGGCUGGAAGAGAUUCUCCGCCCCCAAGACUGGUCAGCUGCCCUGUGAAAAUGAGAGCUGCUCACUUCUCCUUGGCAGUGUGCUCCAGCAGGGAGAUUGGUCCCUAGAUAUAGCACCUUCCAGCAAUGUUCUCAUGCCCCAAGGCUGUUAUUGAAAUAGCAGGGUUGUCAAACCUGAAGGAACCAUUGCCUGUGGGCUGCAGGGACCUGGAACCCUGACCCAAACCAGGACGGAGGAGGUGCUCAGUAAUGAUUAUGAUUCAGCUGUCCAACAGCUCAGUAAAAGGGGGACUAGGAGUCACAUGCAACUUGAUUUAAAGGAUUCCAAAAAUAUGUGAUAUUUAUUGUGCACCUGAGUUCAAGAACUGAUAUUCUUGCUUACUGAAGUUGAACGUACUAAGUUUGGACAUAAAAUUUGAGGGGCGGGUAAGGGCAGUGUCUUUGUGACUGGCAUGCACAGAACACAGAUGACAUUCUGAAAGCCACCGUCCAGGACUGAAGAGUUGCUUUCUACAUUCUGGAAUUAUGACACGAGGUUCACUUUAGAGAGUCUUUUGUGGAUAAGCCGCAUCAAUGAACAGUCCUAGUGUGUGUGAGUGUGAGCUCAGCUUUGUUCUGUCAAGUCUUAAGACAGCAUUUGAUUUAGCAAUUGAUUCAAUUACAUUACAUGUGGAUUUGGCAAAGUGGUGUGUGUGUGUGUGUGUGUGUGUGUGUAUUUCUUUUAAACAAUGAUGAUAACCUUUCUGAAUUCAGGUGGAAGCUGUCUUGACUGACAGCCAGGUACCUGGUGAUUAACUCUCCGUUUCUUUUGUGAAACAUACAAACAUGCCCUGAGCUCACUGAGCUCUCACAGCUGGUAGGACGGGAGGCUCCUCUUUAGUAGGCUCACUGUGUUGUUUGCCUGUUUCCUAGCCUGUUCAUUCCACUUAAUUGUAUCAUGAUAACUACACAAUUUGAGCAAAUAUUACUGAAACCAGUGACACACAGGUACACAAAGAAAGGGGAAGUGUUUCCAAUGAAAAGAAGCAAAAUGCUUGGGAAAGAUUCAACGAGGAAAAGUUGCUUUAAAUGUGUUGUUGGAUUAUAUUUGAUGGUUAUGAGUACAGAAUCUAAGAUUCUUUAGUCAAGAUGCUUUACACUGUCUUUAAAUUCUCAUUUCACAAAGGAAACUCAAAUGAGACAACAUGGAGGAUGCAUUAUCUGUGUGGUUCACCAAGAGAGGGAACAAUACAGCACUCUAAUCAGCACAUCUAUAUUCAAAGAAAGGCACUGGCUGAAAAAAGCACUGCAGUGAGACAGCAGAGGGACGGAAGAUGAUUCUGGAAAAACGCCUGCUGCUGCCAGCAUUUCACAGAGAGCAAAUGGGAAGAGGGUGAAACUCCUUAAAUUCAAACAUAGCACAGAUAUGUGCAUUACUAUAUAUGGAACCAGGAGACUUGGAGCUGGAGUGAUACAGCUGAUGAGUGCCCCAGUGCUGGGCUGCGACGACUCUGCUUUCCAUAGACAAACCAGAAACAUGAAAUUAUCCAUCCUGAUGGCCGGUGUGGUGUGGAAAUCACUGAGGCUGGGAACCCACAGAUCAAUGGUGUGAACCAGGAAGAUGAAAACAUCAGAUUGGACCAAAACAGACCCAUUUUCUUCACUACUCCAUUCUCUGGUUUUGUCCUAUAUCUUAGGGAAGCAGGAUAAGACACUGACACCCUAACUGUGCUGGGUAUUCCUUGUUGUUCAAUGUGUAUAUACGUAUAGUAUAACUGACUCCUUAGUAAGUUAUGUAUAGUCUGCAGGUUUUAGGGUGUCUGUAGUUCUCCAAAGACACCAGAUUCUCUGUGGCAGAGGACAGCCUACUUUCUCCCAGGCCCUCAGCUCAGGCCUGAGCGAGGCUUGACAUUGUCUUUAUAGAGUAGUGACCGUCUUGAGCAGAAACGAAGGUGAGCAAUGUGUAUAGGAUAGGUAAGGCAGCAGGACAAGGCGGGAUAGGUACCGGGUCAAAGGAACUAGAAACAGGCCUUGGGAUGGGGCAAGCAGUGGGUUGGACACUGGAUCUGAGAGGGACGGAGUACCAGUGCAGUGGCAAGUGAAGAUGGGAACAGAGACCCAGGCUGGGAACGUGGAGAAGCGAAGGCCACACGUGAUGCACAGGAGGAGAUGGGCUGGUGGCCACACGUGUCAGGGAGGUGAGUACGAAGACGAGAAGCACUGCAAACCUGUCAACAUUUUAUGUUUAAUCUUCAUUCAUUAAAGGAAUGAUCGCUACCUGU
Sapajus apella (tufted capuchin) is the source of this 8772-nucleotide long non-coding RNA. RefSeq lists it as uncharacterized. The record is from RefSeq and is a predicted model, not a curated record. NCBI's taxonomy places the organism in Eukaryota, Metazoa, Chordata, Mammalia, Primates, Cebidae. The transcript has 6 exons.